Molecule: long non-coding RNA, 1806 nt
Filed under: Volvox carteri
Lineage: Eukaryota; Viridiplantae; Chlorophyta; Chlorophyceae; Chlamydomonadales; Volvocaceae
Description: long non-coding RNA (VCAR_LNC000045)
Source: RNAcentral
GACCUUAAACCGCAAAUUGCAGUAGUGUCUCCCAGCCCAGACCGGUUUUAGUUGUAAUAUGUGGCCGCACGUGCGACGGGUAACACACGCUGUUUGUGAAGUCGCGUUGCAUUGUGACGGCCGAAAGCGCACAUAGAGCUGUUGUCCCGAACCGCUCUCAUCCUUAAUGUCUAAACAGUGCGCGACCACAGAGCAGUCGCCUCCCAUUUGGGGGCGACUCCAACCCGUCGCGUCCCCUCAAGGCCUUACUCUCUCCAGUCCAUAGCCCUCUCCUCCCAUCCUCCCCGUUACUCAGGACGCCCAUCAGCUGACGCUGGCUUUGGAUGCCUUAUGGCCCGAUGUGCCCACCGCCCUGGAGCGAUACCAGCAGGCACGCAUCUACAGGCACGUGCUCUAAUAGCUGCGGAAUAAAGGGUCAUUGGGCAUCCACCUCAGAAAUAAUGGGGGACAAGGGGGCAAAGGGACCCAGCGGAUGCCAAAUGCAGCGGCAAAAACCGUGAUGCCAUCGUAACACCCUCAUUCUUCCUGACCACAAAGCCUGCAUUCUUUUUCUCCUCACAUUCUUGCUUCCCUUCCAUGUCUCUUGUCCUCCUCACUGGAGCCCCGCUCAUGCAUCUACAUACAGGGCCAACCGGGUUCAAAAGUUCUCCGCCGAGUCAGCUGGACUGGCCACCAUCCGUGAGGCGUCGCGACCCGCGGGUUUGUCAGGCAAGGAGGCGUUGGAGCGCUUUAGCGAGUUGCGCGCUUGGCUAGACCAGUACCCCGAGAACAUUACCGGCGACCCCAACUCCAAAUGGUGGAAGCCACCAACAGCUGCGGAUACGAGUGUCGUGGAUGCGGUGGAUGUGGCCACAGCGACGGCGCACCUGGAUGGCCUUCCCAAGUGUGUGGCGGCAGCAGGGGUCGCUGCUGGACGUGAUGCUUGCGAUCGCGCCCACGGUGCUUAGACACAGGCGCUUCGUGAUGGCGGGCGCAAUGACUCGCAACCGUUUGUGGCUGACGGGGAUAUUUCCAGGGUCCCCGUGUGAAAAAGGGAAUCACUUGAGAUGGAGGGAUAUGAGGCACCCGCGUGGCCCAACUUGAACCAGCAGCAGAGGCAUGAGGGGCAUGGCACGUAUUAACAAGCACACUAAUAUUGAUGUGGUUUGCAAGGUAGAUUCAUACUUUCGUAAUUUACUUAUCGUGAGCAUCGAGAUCGUUGAGGUCGAAUUUACGAAGCAAGAUCGUCGUAUUGGCAAUUUGCAGCAGACUUCGUGAAUAGCAUUGCAGACUUCUGGGCAAGACUAAGCUCCCGCUAGAGAAGAGCCCUCACCACCAUACCUACGAUUGUGGUUAAAGCUGAGGCACUUGUACGACUGACCCAGAAGGCCAAACUGGGUUUGUCCUAAAGAUACAUCUCGCGAGUACUUGUCGUAUACUUGGCACCGGAUGGCACCAGAUGCCACCGGACAGUGUUUAUUGGCAUAUAUGUGGCCACAUAUGCUGUCAUGUAUCACGUAUCACUGUCCAUGGAAGGUGCUUACAGUGGGAAGCCCGGCGAUGUAUGGAAUAAUCAGCUGGGAGCAGCUGUUCCGAAGGGCAGUCCUGGGCUGGAGCCUUGAAGAAAAGCAGGGACGGUGUGUAUAGUACAGACCUGGAAACUAUGCUAAGGGCACUGUUAAGGCGGAACGUGCACUCCAGGUUUACAAGUCACCUGCGUACAACUUAACUUAUCAUGUGGCAGAUUGCCUACCCAUUAGGACGCAGCGAAAAGACCGCAGGGCAAGCGAAAAGUCCGCUAGACGGACCGUCCCACCAAAGGCCACU